CAAGGCUCCGCGGCCGGAUAUGGGCCUAGCUUCCGGGAUCCGCUCCCUGCGGGGCCGCGCUUAGGGUCGGAGUUCGCUAGUCCAGGGAAAGGGGUGGGAGGGGCCCUCGGAGGGGCCCCUACAAGGGAUCCCAGUCCGCAGAAUUAAAAAUUCGUUCGCAAGGGAGCGCCCUUCCGGGGUCAGGGUCGUGAAGAGACACUCGAGAAUUAGGGUCCUGGACUGCAGUGGGGCCGGGCCUGGACUUCGGGCAGGUGUUUCCUGGCCGCCCUGGGGCCCUGCAGCACCGAGGGCCGCGCUGAUCUCAGGGCUCAGGCGGACGAGGGGCCGCCACAGGCACCUUAGGACCCUGGCGGCCUGAAGGCCUGGGGCCUUCAGGAAAGCCUCGGGCACUCCCAGCGGGGGACCUAGCGCCAGGUCACGAUUCCAUUCGGGGCGGGGAGCUUCUAAGCAGGAGUUGCUGACCAAGGAAAGAGUCUGGACCCGGGACCUCAUCCCUGAGGACCAGACCACGACCUUGGAGCUCAGCUCUCAGUCCUUCCCGGCUAGGGAUGCGGAGGGGUCGGGAGCUCGACGGCUAAGCGGCAGGGAAUCCUGAGUUCCUAGAGAUCUACAGAAAGCAGAAGAACGACACUAGAUGAGACUAGACAGUGACGGCGGAAGGACGGAACCACAUGGAGACUGACACACUUUGCGAGUUGGGACUCAAUUGCAUUUCUUUAAGUCCUUGAUUCCGAAGUUUCCCCGCCCUCCUAUGCAAGAGCGUUUGGGGAAACUAAGUUCCUUAGACUCUUUCAUCCUUGUUAUGUGAGCUCAGGGAGGAAGGCAGACAAUAGCUGCAGCCUAAACACCUGCUAUCUCUCAAUGCAAUAAGAUAUAGACGGUGAUUGGAGUCGUUUCUCUUUUUGCUUCCAGAGGGAGCUCAAACCUGAAGCAUCAAGGUUAUCUUUUUCCAAAGGAUUUGUGUGAACCUAAGUUCGGUACCUGCGACGAGUAAAAACACUUAUUUGACCCUCUAGAGACUCAGCUAGAACUGACUGAGCAAAGGGAAAUCGGGCAAAAGAAAGGGAAGGUACUGAGGAGAAAACGGCAGAUGUUGUUAUCUCCCGCUGAGAGGCGCGGCCGGCGGGGCCGGAUCCUCCGCUUCCCGCGACUGCCGGAGUCGCGCUGGACUAGGCUGACCGCGCAGGGCGGCGAGGCUGGAAGGGAGGUCUCCGCCCGACAAUGCGCAGGUGCCAGAGGAGCCAGGAGGAGUGAGAAGCGCCCUAGACCCGCGGCCUCAAGCGCCAUGCACGUCAAGGGGAAGUGACUCCGGAGUUGUGCCAGGAAGAACACCAAGAACGAGCUGUGCGUUUUUGCGCAGAGAAGUAGUCUUCGCAAGACCGCAGCUCCCUGCCGAAGGCCCAGAAAGGGAGUGCGGGGGAGAGGGCAAACUAUCACUCCCGAGGACUUGGGGCACGACUAUCACACGCAACUGGGAGAUCCUGGAAGACGGAGGAAAAACGAACAAGGGGACAUGGCCCUCACUGCAGUGACAGGGCUUUCCUUCAGUCAGUGGCCACAAUAAAUUUAACCAAGGCUAAAGGAGAUUAAUUUCCCAGCAUAAUCCAAUUAAAAGAUUUCUAAAGUAAUCUUUUGCGAAAAUGAAAAGUGCGCGACUAAA
Molecule: long non-coding RNA, 1660 nt
Filed under: Homo sapiens (human)
Lineage: Eukaryota; Metazoa; Chordata; Mammalia; Primates; Hominidae
Description: non-protein coding lnc-NR2F1-1:3
Source: RNAcentral